RNAcentral lists this ribosomal RNA (571 nucleotides) under uncultured bacterium. RNAcentral describes it as "bacterial SSU rRNA". It matches the Rfam family "Bacterial small subunit ribosomal RNA", at positions 68 to 649 of the family's 1533-position model. The record is from RNAcentral.
UUCGGCCGAUUUCUAAGAUGGACAGCGGCGAAAGGGAGAGUAAUGAGUGGAUUACCUACCCCCAGGACCGGGAUAGCUGUGGGAAACCGCAGGUAAUACCGGAUAAUAUCUCCGGAUCAAAUGGUGAGAUUCCGCCAGGGGAUGGGUCCGCUUCCUAUUAGCUUGUUGGUGGGGUAACGGCCUACCAAGGCAACAAUGGGUACCGGGUGUGAGAGCAUGGCCCGGCUCACUGGGACUGAGACACUGCCCAGACACCUACGGGUGGCUGCAGUCGAGAAUCUUCCGCAAUGGGCGAAAGCCUGACGGAGCGACGCCGCGUGCGGGAUGAAGGCCUUCGGGUUGUAAACCGCUGUCAGUUGGGAGGAAAUCUAUGGGGGUUAUCCCCCAUAGUUGACCUAUCUUCAGAGGAAGGACGGGCUAAGUUCGUGCCAUCAGCCGCGGUAAGACGAACCGUCCAAACGUUAUUCGGAAUCACUGGGCUUAAAGGGUGCGUAGGCGGCUUGGCAAGUUGGGUGUGAAAUCCCUCGGCUCAACCGAGGAACUGCGCUCAAAAACUGCCAAGCUAGAGGAA